Long non-coding RNA from Coregonus clupeaformis (lake whitefish), 654 nucleotides. RefSeq lists it as uncharacterized. The transcript has 6 exons. Lineage: Eukaryota; Metazoa; Chordata; Actinopteri; Salmoniformes; Salmonidae. The record is from RefSeq and is a predicted model, not a curated record.
GGGAAGAGCAGAAAUACGUCAAGCUGUCUGAGCUGACAUUCAAUGCUUUCUUGAAAGAAGUGUGUCUAAAAUUCAACAUACCAGAAAGCAGAAAGCCAGACAUUAAGGUGUAUGACCAGUCUGACACAGAAGUUGACUCAGAUGUUUUUGAAGAAUUAGUAAAGGAGUCACCUGGAACUUUCAGAAUCAUGCUGGGCAAUGGACUUGAUACCUCUCAUUCAUCAUCAUGCUCGGGUACAUCUGAUGACACCAUCAUUCUGAAUUUCACUGUGUGUGACGAUGUUGAAGAAGUAGCGGCUGGCGAAGGAAGCCAGCCUAAAAGGCCAUGCCACAUAAACUAUGAGGCAAAAGCACUGAUUGAAAAAAUCCUAACAUCAAAGCCUGGUGGUGAACGCAUUAUGCAAGAGUAUGGAAAAACCAAAUCUCUGACAGAUGCCACCAGAAGACAGAUGAUCAACAUACUUGCUGCUGAGAUGACAGAAACACAUGGGACAUCCCCCCCCAAAAGUGUCAGAGUGAUGUAUGCACAGGGGAUAGUAGCUUUGUUUCCCUAUCUAGAAGACCCAUACUCACAACAUGGAUAUGAUCAUUACUACGAUCCGGAGAGUGGUUCCGGAUACCUUGCAUGGCGAUUGAAGACCAUACAAAGAAAAA